RNAcentral lists this ribosomal RNA (483 nucleotides) under uncultured bacterium. RNAcentral describes it as "partial 16S ribosomal RNA". It matches the Rfam family "Bacterial small subunit ribosomal RNA", at positions 28 to 523 of the family's 1533-position model. The record is from RNAcentral.
GAUGAACGCUGGCGGCGUGCUUAACACAUGCAAGUCGAACGGUGAAGCAGGAGCUUGCUCUUGUGGAUCAGUGGCGAACGGGUGAGUAACACGUGAGCAACCUGCCCCUGACUCUGGACAAGCGCUGGAAACGGCGUCUAAUACUGGAUAUGUGAUGUGACCGCAUGGCCUGCAUCUGGAAAGAAUUUCGGUUGGGGAUGGGCUCGCGGCCUAUCAGCUUGUUGGUGAGGUAAAGGCUCACCAAGGCGUCGACGGGUAGCCGGCCUGAGAGGGUGACCGGCCACACGGGGACUGAGACACGGGCCAGAAUCCUACUGGAGGCAGCAGUGGGGAAUAUUGCACAAUGGGCGGAAGCCUGAUGCAGCAACGCCGCGUGAGGGAUGACGGCCUUCGGGUUGUAAACCUCUUUUAGCAGGGAAGAGGCGAAAGUGACGGUACCUGCAGAAAAAGCACCGGCUAACUACGUGCCAGCCGCCGCAGUAA